This 24-nucleotide small nuclear RNA is filed under the name Arabidopsis thaliana (thale cress). Its description in RNAcentral is "snRNA_01062". Lineage: Eukaryota; Viridiplantae; Streptophyta; Magnoliopsida; Brassicales; Brassicaceae. The record is from RNAcentral.
AGUACCCACAUGCAGGAGCUGAGA